UUUGCCGUAGUAACGUCUGACAGCUCUUAAUUUGAUCCGCUGUUUUAUAUCUUUGAUUGUGUGUGUCUAUUUUAUGCUACUCUGCAUUCAGAGUGUAUAUAGUAUUGAGUGAAUUGAUACGUGAUCUCGAUUGAGUCACGAUUGUAUAUUGACGUCUCUGGUCAUUGCCCACUCCUAAUUGUGGACCCUGGGCACCAGUUUGAUAGUCUAAAUACAGCAUCAUCCUAUUUCACUCGU
This is a long non-coding RNA of Daphnia pulex (common water flea), 237 nucleotides long. RefSeq lists it as uncharacterized. The record is from RefSeq and is a predicted model, not a curated record. The transcript has 3 exons. NCBI's taxonomy places the organism in Eukaryota, Metazoa, Arthropoda, Branchiopoda, Diplostraca, Daphniidae.